RNAcentral lists this ribosomal RNA (293 nucleotides) under uncultured Sandonidae. RNAcentral describes it as "partial 18S ribosomal RNA". The stretch from base 113 to 293 matches the Rfam family "Eukaryotic small subunit ribosomal RNA", at positions 753 to 955 of the family's 1831-position model. The record is from RNAcentral. Lineage: Eukaryota; Cercozoa; Glissomonadida; Viridiraptoridae.
GAUGUCUGGUUUAAUGCACCUGGCCCGCAGCCACUAGGCUUGUAAGUGCCGGCGCGCGUUUGCCAUCCUUGAAGAAAACGAUUCUGCCAUCAACUUGGUUGGGAUCGCGAUGUACUUUGAAAAAAUUAGAGUGUUUAAAGCAGGCUUUUGCUAUGAAUACAUUAGCAUGGAAUAAUAAUCUGGGACUUCGGUUGAUUUUGUUGGUUUCUAUAACUGAAGUAAUGAUUGAUAGUAUUGGCCGGCCAGAGGUGAAAUUCUUGGAUUGGAUCAAGACUAACUUAUGCGAAAGCAUU